GCCAGGCGCGGUGUCCCGUGCCUGUAGUCCCAGCUACUUGGGAGGCUGAGGCAGGAAACGGCUUGAGCCCAGGAGUUCUGGGCUGUAGUGUGCUAUACCGAUCGCGUGUCCGCACUAAAUUCGGCACCAAUAUGGUGACCUCCCAGGAACAGGGGACCACGAGGUUGCCUAAGGGGAGGGGUGAACUGGCCAAGGUCGGAAAUAGAGCAGGUCGAAACUCCAUUGCGGAUCAGUAGCAGGAUCGUGCCUAUGAAUAGCCACUGCAUUCCAGCCUGGGUAACAGACCCUGUCUCUCUCUCUC
Pongo abelii (Sumatran orangutan) is the source of this 301-nucleotide unclassified non-coding RNA. It matches the Rfam family "Metazoan signal recognition particle RNA". Rfam says of the family: The signal recognition particle (SRP) is a universally conserved ribonucleoprotein. It is involved in the co-translational targeting of proteins to membranes. The eukaryotic SRP consists of a 300-nucleotide 7S RNA and six proteins: SRPs 72, 68, 54, 19, 14, and 9. The record is from Ensembl. Lineage: Eukaryota; Metazoa; Chordata; Mammalia; Primates; Hominidae.